This 74-nucleotide transfer RNA is filed under the name Verrucomicrobiota bacterium. RNAcentral's name for it is "tRNA-Gly". It matches the Rfam family "tRNA". From Rfam's summary of the family: Transfer RNA (tRNA) molecules are approximately 80 nucleotides in length. Their secondary structure includes four short double-helical elements and three loops (D, anti-codon, and T loops). The record is from RNAcentral. RNAcentral also lists the same sequence under 3 other names. Lineage: Bacteria; Pseudomonadati; Verrucomicrobiota.
GCGGGCGUAGUUCAGUGGUAGAACGGCAGCCUUCCAAGCUGCACGCGAGGGUUCGAUUCCCUUCGCCCGCUCCA